This 72-nucleotide transfer RNA is filed under the name Sarcina sp. DSM 11001. It matches the Rfam family "tRNA". Rfam says of the family: Transfer RNA (tRNA) molecules are approximately 80 nucleotides in length. Their secondary structure includes four short double-helical elements and three loops (D, anti-codon, and T loops). Lineage: Bacteria; Bacillati; Bacillota; Clostridia; Eubacteriales; Clostridiaceae. The record is from Rfam by way of RNAcentral.
GUCCGUGUGGUGUAAUGGACAACACAUCUGUCUUCCAAACAGAUGAUCCGGGUUCAAUUCCCGGUACGGGCU